Acanthosepion pharaonis is the source of this 99-nucleotide non-coding RNA. NCBI's taxonomy places the organism in Eukaryota, Metazoa, Mollusca, Cephalopoda, Sepiida, Sepiidae. The record is from the annotation of a GenBank genome assembly.
GUUGAAACACAGAUUCUCGUACGAUCAUCGAAAUUAAGCAACGUCGAGCCUGAUCAGUAUUUAGAUAGGUGACCGCUUGGGAAUACCAGGUACUGUAAG